GACGAACCGUGCGAACGUUGUUCGGAUUCACUGGGCUUAAAGGGCGCGUAGGCGGGCGUUCAAGUCCGGGGUGAAAGCCUCCAGCUCAACUGGAGAAGUGCCUCGGAUACUGAAUGUCUAGAGGGAAGUAGGGGCAUGCGGAACUUCCGGUGGAGCGGUGAAAUGCGUAGAUAUCGGAAGGAACACCGGUGGCGAAAGCGGCGUGCUGGACUUCUACUGACGCUGAGGCGCGAAAGCUAGGGGAGCAAACGGG
RNAcentral lists this ribosomal RNA (253 nucleotides) under uncultured bacterium. Its description in RNAcentral is "partial 16S ribosomal RNA". It matches the Rfam family "Bacterial small subunit ribosomal RNA", at positions 524 to 776 of the family's 1533-position model. The record is from RNAcentral.